GACGAACGCUGGCGGCGUGCUUAACACAUGCAAGUCGUACGGUAAGGCCCUUUCGGGGGUCCACGAGUGGCGAACGGGUGAGUAACACGUGAGUAACCUGCCCACAACUUUGGGAUAACGCUAGGAAACUGGUGCUAAUUCUGGUUAUGUGCUCCUGCUGCUUGGUGGGGGUUGGAAAGCUCCGGGGGUUGUGGAUGGACUCGCGGCCUAUCAGCUUGUUGGUGGGGUAGUUGCCUACCAAGGCGGCGACGGGUAGCCGGACUGAGGGGGUGACCGGCCACAUUGGGACUGAGAUACGGCCCAGACGCCUACGGGAGGCAGCAGUGGGGAAUAUUGCACAAGGGGCGCAAGCCUGAUGCAGCAACGCCGCGUGCGGGAUAACGGCCUUCGGGUUGUAAACCGCUUUCAGCAGGGACGAAGCUUUUUGUGACGGUACCUGCAGAAGAAGCACCGGCUAACUACGUG
Molecule: ribosomal RNA, 465 nt
Filed under: uncultured bacterium
Lineage: Bacteria
Description: partial 16S ribosomal RNA
Rfam family: Bacterial small subunit ribosomal RNA
Source: RNAcentral